UACGGGGGGGGCAAGCGUUGUUCGGAAUUACUGGGCGUAAAGGGCUCGUAGGCGGCCAACUAAGUCAGACGUGAAAUCCCUCGGCUUAACCGGGGAACUGCGUCUGAUACUGGAUGGCUUGAGGUUGGGAGAGGGAUGCGGAAUUCCAGGUGUAGCGGUGAAAUGCGUAGAUAUCUGGAGGAACACCGGUGGCGAAGGCGGCAUCCUGGACCAAUUCUGACGCUGAGGAGCGAAAGCCAGGGGAG
RNAcentral lists this ribosomal RNA (245 nucleotides) under uncultured bacterium. RNAcentral's name for it is "partial 16S ribosomal RNA". It matches the Rfam family "Bacterial small subunit ribosomal RNA", at positions 524 to 768 of the family's 1533-position model. The record is from RNAcentral.